UCCCUGGUGGCUCAGAGGGUAAAGCGUCUACCAGCAAUGCAGGAGACCCAGGUUCGAUCCCUGGGUUGGGAA
RNAcentral lists this transfer RNA (72 nucleotides) under Ovis aries (sheep). It matches the Rfam family "tRNA". From Rfam's summary of the family: Transfer RNA (tRNA) molecules are approximately 80 nucleotides in length. Lineage: Eukaryota; Metazoa; Chordata; Mammalia; Artiodactyla; Bovidae. The record is from Rfam by way of RNAcentral.